UGUCGUAUAGCUCAGUCGAGAGCACAGUGCUAAUAACGCUGCGGUCCAGGGUUCGAGCCCCUGUAUGACCA
Molecule: transfer RNA, 71 nt
Filed under: Phytophthora infestans T30-4
Lineage: Eukaryota; Oomycota; Peronosporomycetes; Peronosporales; Peronosporaceae
Rfam family: tRNA
About the family: Transfer RNA (tRNA) molecules are approximately 80 nucleotides in length. Their secondary structure includes four short double-helical elements and three loops (D, anti-codon, and T loops).
Source: Rfam by way of RNAcentral